Cicer arietinum (chickpea) is the source of this 889-nucleotide non-coding RNA. The record is from RefSeq and is a predicted model, not a curated record. NCBI's taxonomy places the organism in Eukaryota, Viridiplantae, Streptophyta, Magnoliopsida, Fabales, Fabaceae.
AAUAGCAUAAUUAGAUGAAUGUUGUGUCGUUGAAGAAGAAUCUUUAGGAAAAAUCAUAUUCACCAAAUGAUGAGUUGCCCAUGCCAAAGACUAGUUCACAAGGUGAAAUGAUGACCGGAUUGAUACGCAAAGAAUAAGAACAAAUUGACAAAAACACAUACAAGGCAUAUAUAAGCUUCAGAAACACAUACACGUUCUUAUCCAUACAAGGCAGAAACACAUACAAGGCAGAAACACAUACAAGGCAGAUAUAAUCUACAGAAACACAUACAAGAUUGCAAGUUCGUCUACAAUUGCAUCGCAAGAAGGCCUACUUUAGCCGCAUUGGGAGCAGUUUCAUCCACGUUCCACCUAAAACUAAGAUAUGAUUUUACUAAUGAAGAAUAUGGAACUAUAGAAGCCGACCUUGAAGCACCCAAACAAUGCUUCUUAGCUGCACUAAAGAAUUCGAAGAUUGACAUGAAGUUGAAAUCCAAAAAUGUAGUGUCGAAAAAGAAAUGUUACAACCGUCAACAAACUGAUGACAAACAUUGAUGCUAGAUUGGAUGACGAGAUGAUUUCUAGAGAAGGUGACUCCGUCAAAAGGACAAAUAGGACCAAAGUCAAAUAGAUCCUUCGAAGAAGUAGAGAUAAGGGGCGAGUCAUGAAUUGAAACAAAGUAAACAUCUCAAAGUCAUAUCUAUAUGAGAGAUAUUAUCUUAGAUUAAACUUGUCUAAGGAAAUACUUCAUGCGUGGUUAGUUUUUUGAACAAUAGAUUGAAACUUUUUUGUAUCUCUUUCUCUAAGGCCUGCUUAUAUAUGAUCUGAAUAUUCCUUCAAUUCUAUUAUGAAUUUUGGUUGUUUCUCUUGAAACUAUUCAAUGAUAAACUGGACAAAACUCUUAUGCUUA